Schistosoma mattheei is the source of this 46-nucleotide non-coding RNA. The record is from Rfam. Lineage: Eukaryota; Metazoa; Platyhelminthes; Trematoda; Strigeidida; Schistosomatidae.
GCAUUGCUGAGGAGUCCCACAACAUAACGAAACAGCUGUCCAAUGC